CCUACGGGUGGCAGCAGUGAGGAAUAUUGGUCAAUGGCCGGAAGGCUGAACCAGCCAUGCCGCGUGAAGGUCAGUGCCCUAUGGGCGUUAAACUUCUUUUGUGCGGGAGCAAUAAUGGUCACGUGUGGCCAGACGAGAGUACCGUACGCAUAAGCAUCGGCUAACUCCUUGCCAGCAGCCGCGGUAAUACGGGGGAUGCAAGCUGUAUCCGGAUUUAUGGGGUUUAAAGGGUGCGUAGGCUGGGAGUUAAGUCAGCGGUGAAAUGCCCCCGCUCAACGGGGUGAAGUGCCAUUGAUACUGCCUUGCUGGAAGGCGGAUGACGUGGGAGGAAUGUGUGGUGUAGCGGUGAAAUGAAUAGAUAUCACACAGAACACCGAUUGCGAAGGCAUCUAACGAAGCCGCGAUUGACGCUGAUGCACGAAAGCGUGGGGAUCAAACAGGAUUAGAUACCCUAGUAGUC
This 460-nucleotide ribosomal RNA is filed under the name uncultured bacterium. RNAcentral's name for it is "partial 16S ribosomal RNA". It matches the Rfam family "Bacterial small subunit ribosomal RNA", at positions 338 to 795 of the family's 1533-position model. The record is from RNAcentral.